Non-coding RNA from Misgurnus anguillicaudatus (oriental weatherfish), 1980 nucleotides. The record is from RefSeq and is a predicted model, not a curated record. Lineage: Eukaryota; Metazoa; Chordata; Actinopteri; Cypriniformes; Cobitidae.
GUCUGCUCAGCGUCACAAAAAGUCAAAAACGCUUAUUAAAAAGCACCGGCGUGCCUGUCCGACACAGUACACGGAUAUUGCAGACCCUAAAAGAGUGCAGCAUCAAGCGGAAGAUAGUGGUUAACGGUUAAUGUUACAGGAUGCUGUCCAUUAGUCGAAAUUGUUGUUACCUGGUCGUGCUGUGGAGUUCCGCAGAAUGUGCAGCUGGCCUCCACGCUUGAUGGAGGGGAGCAAACGGGGUCCAGUGUGAGUCUUUCUGCUGGUGAGAGAUGAGUGCUGCAUGAUAACAGCCCAGUACACCGUUGCUAAGCAGUUCUGGUUGCUACGAGGGAGAGAGAGAUAGAGACGCUGGGGUGAUCUGGGUAUCACUGGACCUAAGAGGACAUUCCUUGACAUCUGUGCUGAGAUGGCCAUCUUAUUACACAUCCGGAGACUCAUUUGUGAUGCUCGGGGGGAUGAUGAAAGUCACGGGCACGCUGAACUGAAGUGUUUGUAGCAUCGGAUGCCCGCAGAGAGAAGAGAAACCAGCAGGACCAAAGAAGCUGUGAGACGCAACUCCUUCCAGAGCAACCUGACCUCUCAAGGCAGAUGGUUCAUUACGGUUAUACACCGGAGAUUGAUGCUGGCAGUAGCAGAAGACGGAGGAAACUCUGAAAUGGAUUAACGGCCUGUCAAUAAGGAAACGUUAUUCAUUUAUAUAAAGGAAAAGGUAGACAGAGAUGCAUGGGGACAGUUGAUAGAAGCACUGGGGACCCAAUUUUAGUCCGAUUUUCAUGAUAUGUCCUUUUUAAAGCCCGGUAGACACCGACCGGAUGGAUGGAGGUGUUCCUGCUGGCUCUUCUGGUCAGCAUUGCAUAGUUAUUUUCAUCAGCAUGUAGGCACCAGCCCUUAGUCCAGCUACACUCUGCCGCUGAUGAGGCCAUGUCACCCAUGAUUACGGUUAGAGACUCGAGACAGCGAGUCAGAUGGUGAUGAUGUCAGCACUGGGGAGUGAAUAGAUGGGAGAAUGAUGACGUGUCAGUGCCACCUCAUAUCUCAGGGGGCUCUGCCACCCUCAUGUCCUCAAACCAGCCCCUGGCAAUGUCUGCUUUGGGACACUGUACUGUCACCCAGCUCAUACUCAGAAGACAAAGAGUUGCUGAGGGGACAGGCUUUGAUGGGUUAUGUCGUGGUGAAUAUUAGUAUGUGCCUUCUUCUUUGGAAAUAUACAACACUAUAUUAAGUACACAUAUUAACCUCCUAAGACUUGAGCUUUGAUUUGUCUUUUUUUCAGAUUUCUUCCAGCUAUUUUGGGGUUGGGAAGAACCAAUUAAUAUAAUCAAAUAUUUUUCUUUGAACAUGAAGCAGUGUAAUUGUCCAUGUUUGUGUACAACAGGUUACACAGAGUUAAGUAUUUUGGUGCAAACGACAAAAAUGUGAUGUCCAAGUAACCUCCAGGUCUUUAGGAGGUUAAGUAUGCAAAUGCUAUAUUUAUAUAGGGAAUUCUAAGAAUUGACUAUUUUAUUUAGUACUGACCUGAAUAAUAUUUUAAAUAAUGAAUGUUAACAUGUAGACCAUAAAAACAGACUUAAAUUUUUGUGCAUGCUAGUGUUGUAGUUCUCAAGACUGGUCUUGGUCUCGUCUUGGAAUCGACCGCAUUUUAACUCGGUCUCGUCUCGUUCUCAGACAAAGAGGACUCGGAAUUUUAUUUCAAGACCGGUCAACAACAAAUGAUGGCACAUCACAAAUUUAUUUUUUUUUAUAAAUUUUAUGCAGUUUAUUCAGGUUUGGCAUAUGAUGUUGGCAUUGUUUAAGCAUUGUUUAAAUUACUCCCAAUGACAAUUUUUCUAAUUUUAUUACUAAAAACACCUGCAUUGUGUUAAGUGGAUGGCAAGCCAUGGAAAGACAGUUCAGAAUAAAUGGUUUUGUUCAUUUCAGCUCUUUAGUGUUUGUUCACUUUUAUUUGCUUAAAGACAAAAAUAAAUUCCCACAUAUCUGCAA